UUGGCGGCGAUUUCGAGACGGCUGCCGACUACCGCGAUCCGUAUCUGCAGAAGUUGAUCAAGGAGAAGAACGGCACGGUGAUCUGGCCGCUGAUCCGUUAUUCCUACAGCACACAUAAUCUCGAUCUGCCGACGCCGGCGCCGUCAAAGCCGACAUGGAUGCUCACCGAGGCGCAAUGCAAGGCGGUGGUGGAGAAGAAGGGCCUGC
Molecule: unclassified non-coding RNA, 207 nt
Filed under: Hevea brasiliensis (rubber tree)
Lineage: Eukaryota; Viridiplantae; Streptophyta; Magnoliopsida; Malpighiales; Euphorbiaceae
Source: RNAcentral